GUCGCCAACGAGUGGCGGACGGGUGAGUAACACGUAGGUAACCUGCCCAGAAGCGGGGGACAACAUUUGGAAACAGAUGCUAAUACCGCAUAACAACGUUGUUCGCAUGAACAACGCUUAAAAGAUGGCUUCUCGCUAUCACUUCUGGAUGGACCUGCGGUGCAUUAGCUUGUUGGUGGGGUAAUGGCCUACCAAGGCGAUGAUGCAUAGCCGAGUUGAGAGACUGAUCGGCCACAAUGGGACUGAGACACGGCCCAUACUCCUACGGGAGGCAGCAGUAGGGAAUCUUCCACAAUGGGCGCAAGCCUGAUGGAGCAACACCGCGUGAGUGAAGAAGGGUUUCGGCUCGUAAAGCUCUGUUGUUAAAGAAGAACACGUAUGAGAGUAACUGUUCAUACGUUGACGGUAUUUAACCAGAAAGUCACGGCUAACUACGUGCCAGCAGCCGCGGUAAUACGUAGGUGGCAAGCGUUAUCCGGAUUUAUUGGGCGUAAAGAGAGUGCAGGCGGU
Molecule: ribosomal RNA, 510 nt
Filed under: Limosilactobacillus fermentum
Lineage: Bacteria; Bacillati; Bacillota; Bacilli; Lactobacillales; Lactobacillaceae
Description: bacterial SSU rRNA
Rfam family: Bacterial small subunit ribosomal RNA
Source: RNAcentral